RNAcentral lists this ribosomal RNA (484 nucleotides) under uncultured bacterium. Its description in RNAcentral is "partial 16S ribosomal RNA". It matches the Rfam family "Bacterial small subunit ribosomal RNA", at positions 31 to 523 of the family's 1533-position model. The record is from RNAcentral.
AGGGAACGCUGGCGGCGUGCUUAACACAUGCAAGUCGAACGAGAACGGGUUAUAGCUUGCUAUAAUUGUCAGCUAAGUGGCGCACGGGUGAGUAAUGUAUAGGUAAUAUGCCUCUUACUAAGGGAUAACAAAUGGAAACGUUUGCUAAUACCUUAUACUCCUUAUUAACAGAAGUUAAUAAGGGAAAGAUUUAUUGGUAAGAGAUUAGCCUGUAUUGUAUCAGUUAGUUGGUGGGGUAAUGGCUUACCAAGACUAUGACACAUAACUGUGUUGAGAGGAUGAUCAGUCACACUGGAACUGAGACACGGUCCAGACUCCUACGGGAGGCAGCAGUGGGGAAUAUUGCACAAUGGACGAAAGUCUGAUGCAGCAACGCCGCGUGGAGGAUGACACAUUUCGGUGCGUAAACUCCUUUUAUAUGAGAAGAUAAUGACGGUAUUAUAUGAAUAAGCACCGGCUAACUCCGUGCCAGCAGCCGCAGUAA